Molecule: non-coding RNA, 72 nt
Organism: Phrynosoma platyrhinos (Desert horned lizard)
Lineage: Eukaryota; Metazoa; Chordata; Lepidosauria; Squamata; Phrynosomatidae
Source: the annotation of a GenBank genome assembly
GGCAGCAGAGUGUAGUGGUUUGAGUGUUGGACUCUGAUUCUGGGGACCAGGGUUCAAAUUCCUGUUCAGCCA